This is a long non-coding RNA of Drosophila obscura, 978 nucleotides long. RefSeq lists it as uncharacterized. The record is from RefSeq and is a predicted model, not a curated record. The transcript is spliced from 3 exons. NCBI's taxonomy places the organism in Eukaryota, Metazoa, Arthropoda, Insecta, Diptera, Drosophilidae.
UCUAGUUAGUUCAGUUAGAAAUCUAGCCACCUGCACUGCCCAACCUUUUGAGGGAAAAAUGAGCGAGGAUCAUUUGUCUUCCCAGUAAAAAUUACUUUAGUGUAGAAUAAAAUAUCCAUAAAAUUUGGAUUCUAUAAACCCAUUCAAUUGGCGCCCCAUCGACCUACCGUCAUAACAAACAAGACGACGGACGAUCUGAAGUGCCAGACGACAACAUCGAUAGGGAGAGGAGGAUAGGCGGCGUUACUAUGUUUGCACACAUGGAACCGACAAUAUUUUGACUUUUUAUGUAAGAGGCGAUGCGAUGCGCUGCAAAAACCCAGAGGGACAAGUAACCAGAAAUGGACACAGAAAACCCAAGGCGAUACAGAUGCAGAUAUGAAGGAAGUGGAGGACGGCAACGGUUUUUUUUCGCACCUACAUGCUAAAAACGAAAAAAACACAAAAAUUGGUAACUGAAAUUGGGACUGCAGUUGGACGGAGUCCCGGAGUGUGUGUUUGCAUUUGUUUGUUACGCCAAAUGCACAUGCCGAUAUAUAUAUAUAUUUCCCCGCGUUGCUUUUUUUUUUUUGAGGAAUUCAACCCGUUCCCUGGGGCUGCUGCUGCGUCCUCUUGGUCGCUGGCCUUUGCUCACUCUGCCGUAACGAAAUUGUUUGACUUUUGCCGACUGCUUCGAUGUCCCACUCCUGCACUCCUGCACUCCAGCAAUGCCGCAAUCCCCUUUGCUGCCAGCUACUGCAUUACACAGGGCUGUGCCAAAAUUACGGUGAAUUCACAGCUUAUGUUCUUCAGUGUUCAGUGUGUCCUGUCGGCCAUUUUGGAAAUGCCAUGACAUUCUCAAAAAUGGAUAAAAAGCAGCAGCAGCAUGUCUUUGAAUUGGGCAGCAGCAUCCUCUCACUCACUCUCAAGUGAUUUAUGGUCGGCUGUAUCUGGUUUCAUGUGAAAGCAGUUGGGCCAUUGGACGGCGCAAGAGUAGGA